RNAcentral lists this ribosomal RNA (484 nucleotides) under uncultured bacterium. RNAcentral's name for it is "partial 16S ribosomal RNA". It matches the Rfam family "Bacterial small subunit ribosomal RNA", at positions 30 to 507 of the family's 1533-position model. The record is from RNAcentral.
AUUGAACGCUGGCGGCAGGCCUAACACAUGCAAGUCGAGCGGAUGAAGGGAGCUUGCUCCUGGAUUCAGCGGCGGACGGGUGAGUAAUGCCUAGGAAUCUGCCUGGUAGUGGGGGAUAACGUCCGGAAACGGGCGCUAAUACCGCAUACGUCCUGAGGGAGAAAGUGGGGGGUCUUCGGACCUCACGCUAUCAGAUGAGCCUAGGUCGGAAUAGCUAGGUGGUCGGGUAAAGGCCUACCAAGGCGACGAUUCGUAACUGGUCUGAGAGGAUGCUCAGUCACAGUGGAACUGAGACACGGUCCAGACGCCUGCGGGAGGGAGCAGUGGGGAAUAUUGGACAAUGGGCGGAAGCCUGAUCCAGCGAUGCCGCGUGUGUGAAGAAGGUCUUCGGAUUGUAAAGCACUUUAAGUUGGGAGGAAGGGCAGUAAGUUAAUACCUUGCUGUUUUGACGUUACCAACAGAAUAAGCACCGGCUAACUUCGUG